GACGAACGCUGGCGGCGUGCUUAACACAUGCAAGUCGAACGGAGUGGAGACCGGGUGAGUAACGCGUAAUCAACCUGCCCUUCUGAGGGGGACAACAGUUGGAAACGACUGCUAAUACCGCAUACUGCAGGUGGGUUUUGCGUCUGAUUAGCUAGGUGGAGGGGUCACGGCCCAACAUGGCGAUGAUCAGUAGCCUGUCGGAGAGGAUGAGCAGCCGCAUUGGGACUGAGUAACGGCCCAGACUCCUACGGGAGGCAGCAGUGGGGAAUCUUCCGCAAUGGAUGAACGUCUGACGGAGCAACGCCGCGGGAGGUAGGACGGCCUUCGGGUUGUAAAGCACUGUUAAUCGGGACGCGGUACCGGAAUAGAAAGCCACGGCUAACUACGUGCCAGCAGCCGCGGUAAUAC
RNAcentral lists this ribosomal RNA (408 nucleotides) under uncultured bacterium. Its description in RNAcentral is "partial 16S ribosomal RNA". It matches the Rfam family "Bacterial small subunit ribosomal RNA", at positions 28 to 526 of the family's 1533-position model. The record is from RNAcentral.